UAGGGAAUCUUCGGCAAUGGGGGCAACCCUGACCGAGCAACGCCGCGUGAGUGAAGAAGGUUUUCGGAUCGUAAAGCUCUGUUGUAAGUCAAGAACGAGUGUGAGAGUGGAAAGUUCACACUGUGACGGCAGCUUACCAGAAAGGGACGGCUAACUACGUGCCAGCAGCCGCGGUAAUACGUAGGUCCCGAGCGUUGUCCGGAUUUAUUGGGCGUAAAGCGAGCGCAGGCGGUUUGAUAAGUCUGAAGUUAAAGGCUGUGGCUCAACCAUAGUUCGCUUUGGAAACUGUCAAACUUGAGUGCAGAAGGGGAGAGUGGAAUUCCAUGUGUAGCGGUGAAAUGCGUAGAUAUAUGGAGGAACACCGGUGGCGAAAGCGGCUCUCUGGUCUGUAACUGACGCUGAGGCUCGAAAGCGUGGGGAGCGAACAGGAUUAGAUACCCUGGUAGUCCACGCCGUAACGAUGGGUGCUAGGUGUUGGAUCCUUUCCGGGAUUCAGUGCCGCAGCUAACGCAUUAAGCACUCCGCCUGGGGAGUACGACCGCAAGGUU
Molecule: ribosomal RNA, 548 nt
Filed under: uncultured bacterium
Lineage: Bacteria
Description: bacterial SSU rRNA
Rfam family: Bacterial small subunit ribosomal RNA
Source: RNAcentral